This 493-nucleotide ribosomal RNA is filed under the name uncultured bacterium. RNAcentral describes it as "partial 16S ribosomal RNA". It matches the Rfam family "Bacterial small subunit ribosomal RNA", at positions 28 to 507 of the family's 1533-position model. The record is from RNAcentral.
GACGAACGCUGGCGGCGUGCUUAACACAUGCAAGUCGAACGGUGAAGGGACCGGUUUUUGCUGGUUCUGGAUGAGUGGCGCACGGGUGAGUAACACGUGAGUAACCUGCCCCCUUCUUCUGGAUAACCGCAUGAAAGUGUGGCUAAUACGGGAUAUUCUGCGCCUGCUGCAUGGUGGGUGUGGGAAAGAUAUUGUUUCGGUGGGGGAUGGGCUCGCGGCCUAUCAGCUUGUUGGUGGGGUGAUGGCCUACCAAGGCGGUGACGGGUAGCCGGCCUGAGAGGGUGGACGGUCACACUGGGACUGAGACACGGCCCAGACUCCUACGGGAGGCAGCAGUGGGGAAUAUUGCACAAUGGGCGCAAGCCUGAUGCAGCGACGCCGCGGGAGGGAUGGAGGCCUUCGGGUUGUAAACCUCUUUCGCCAGUGAAGCAGGCCUGUCCCUUUUGUGGGUGGGUUGACGGUAGCUGGAUAAGAAGCGCCGGCUAACUACGUG